This 225-nucleotide long non-coding RNA is filed under the name Olea europaea (common olive). RNAcentral describes it as "long non-coding RNA (OEUR_LNC013127)". Lineage: Eukaryota; Viridiplantae; Streptophyta; Magnoliopsida; Lamiales; Oleaceae. The record is from RNAcentral.
UAUCAUAAUGAUGUCUGCUCCGAAUCCUUCACCGUGUGAGGAUCUAUCCAUAAAGAUUUUCCAAACUUCCUCCUGUCGUAUGGGUUAGUCAGGCGGGAUUGUGAGCUCAACGAUAAAGUCCACGAAAGCUUGCACCUUAAUGGCCAUCCUUGGUUUGAACUCGAAGUCAAACUCACUUAAUUCGAUUACCCACUUUAACAUCCUUCUAGAUGUCUCACGUUGGUG